GGGAAAGGACGCAUUAGGCAAAUCUGAUUCAUCCCUUCAGACCACGUCCCCACAACAGACUUCCUGAGGCCCUGAGGAUUUUGGAUAGUUCCCAUCAGUUGACCUGAGAGCUUCUACAACUUAAAGACUUUUAUUGCAAGCUGCUGUGCUGUGAGCUUCCCUAAGGAGAGAAUCAUCGAAUAAGGAACUGAUGGCAGCUUCUAGCCAACAGCUAGCAAGAAAUUGAAGAUCUCAGUCUGGC
Molecule: long non-coding RNA, 241 nt
Organism: Zalophus californianus (California sea lion)
Lineage: Eukaryota; Metazoa; Chordata; Mammalia; Carnivora; Otariidae
Exons: 3
Source: RefSeq, a predicted model, not a curated record